RNAcentral lists this ribosomal RNA (301 nucleotides) under uncultured bacterium. RNAcentral describes it as "partial 16S ribosomal RNA". It matches the Rfam family "Bacterial small subunit ribosomal RNA", at positions 509 to 807 of the family's 1533-position model. The record is from RNAcentral.
CAGUCGCCGCGGUAAUACGGAGGAUCCAAGCGUUAUCCGGAAUCAUCGGGUUUAAAGGGUCCGUAGGCGGUCUUGUAAGUCAGUGGUGAAAGCCCAUCGCUCAACGGUGGAACGGCCAUUGAUACUGCAGGACUUGAAUUAUUGGGAAGUAACUAGAAUAUGUAGUGUAGCGGUGAAAUGCUUAGAGAUUACAUGGAAUACCAAUUGCGAAGGCAGGUUACUACCAAUUGAUUGACGCUGAUGGACGAAAGCGUGGGUAGCGAACAGGAUUAGAUACCCCAGUAGUCCCUGUCUCUUAUAC